RNAcentral lists this ribosomal RNA (429 nucleotides) under uncultured Burkholderiales bacterium. RNAcentral describes it as "bacterial SSU rRNA". It matches the Rfam family "Bacterial small subunit ribosomal RNA", at positions 355 to 776 of the family's 1533-position model. The record is from RNAcentral. Lineage: Bacteria; Pseudomonadati; Pseudomonadota; Betaproteobacteria; Burkholderiales.
UGGGGAAUUUUGGACAAUGGGGGAAACCCUGAUCCAGCCAUGCCGCGUGCGGGAAGAAGGCCUUCGGGUUGUAAACCGCUUUUGGCAGGAACGAAACGGCGCGCACUAACACUGCGCGCUAAUGACGGUACCUGCAGAAUAAGCACCGGCUAACUACGUGCCAGCAGCCGCGGUAAUACGUAGGGUGCAAGCGUUAAUCGGAAUUACUGGGCGUAAAGCGUACGCAGGCGGCUGUGCAAGACAGGUGUGAAAUCCCCGGGCCCAACCUGGGAACUGCACUUGUGACUGCAUAGCUAGAGUCCGUUAGAGGGGGGUGGAAUUCCACGUGUAGCAGUGAAAUGCGUAGAGAUGUGGAGGAACACCGAUGGCGAAGGCAGCCCCCUGGGAUGAGACUGACGCUCAUGUACGAAAGCGUGGGGAGCAAACAGG